ACUUGAAUUUUUGUCAACUUUAACAAAAUGAUAAAUAUUUAUGUUUUAUCAUAUGGGAAAAAACCCUUUGAAUUUGCAUGAAAGAAUUAUAAUCCUGGCUCCUGAGCCUGAGAAAAAGCAAAUGAGAGAUGUGUAAAUUUUGGAGAGGACUUAGCUAGCACCCCAUCCAUGUCUUACGUAGGAAGUGUUAGGUAUUAAUUCCAAAGAGUUUGGGUUUCUCCUUUUCUUCCUGAAGAAAACUGUUCUCCCUAUAUAUCUAAUCUACCUGUGUAAACUAUUUGUUUAAUAAUUACUUAUUGGGGAUUUGUGCCUAAAAUGGUGAGAAGAAUGGGAACUCUGUAUUGUCUGAGACUUCUUUCUCUUAUAUCACAAUUAAAAUGAGAGCAAGUAAAAAGAACUUUUGCCUUUUUUAAAAGGAUGCUAGAACUAAUACUACUGGAAUCUAAAUAUCUUUGAAUUUUAAACAAAAUUUAAAUAAGGUUGAUUGUGCUAGAGGUGGUUACCUGACCCAUCAGAAAGAUGGAGUUAGCUGAAUUAGGCAAGUUUACCUUAAGUGUGUAGAUUCCACAAGUGUGCGGCAUUGUUUCAUUGAGGGAUUCAUUAAAUCUAUUGAUAGCAGCCCUGCCAGCUAAGUAGCUUCCUGCUUGGACCUGUUCACAAGGAGCUCCUGUUUGUCAUUUGGUUGCAUCCUGUGACUAAGCUACGUAAUAAAAUGUUGAAACUCAA
Molecule: long non-coding RNA, 726 nt
Organism: Acinonyx jubatus (cheetah)
Lineage: Eukaryota; Metazoa; Chordata; Mammalia; Carnivora; Felidae
Exons: 2
Source: RefSeq, a predicted model, not a curated record